AUUGAACGCUGGCGGCAUGCCUUACACAUGCAAGUCGAACGGCAGCACGGGAGCAAUCCUGGUGGCGAGUGGCGAACGGGUGAGUAAUGUAUCGGAACGUACCUUUCAGUGGGGGAUAACGUAGCGAAAGUUACGCUAAUACCGCAUAUUCUGUGAGCAGGAAAGCAGGGGAUCGCAAGACCUUGCGCUGAUUGAGCGGCCGAUGUCAGAUUAGCUAGUUGGUGAGGUAAAGGCUCACCAAGGCGACGAUCUGUAGCGGGUCUGAGAGGAUGAUCCGCCACACUGGAACUGAGACACGGUCCAGACUCCUACGGGAGGCAGCAGUGGGGAAUUUUGGACAAUGGGCGCAAGCCUGAUCCAGCCAUGCCGCGUGAGUGAAGAAGGCCUCGGUUGUAAGACGUCUUCUAGUCCGGAAGAAACGACGAUAGGUUAAGUACCGUACGUGUGG
Molecule: ribosomal RNA, 448 nt
Filed under: uncultured bacterium
Lineage: Bacteria
Description: bacterial SSU rRNA
Rfam family: Bacterial small subunit ribosomal RNA
Source: RNAcentral